AAUAGAUACCCCGGUAGUCCACGCCGUAAACGAUGAAUACUAGGUGUGGGGGUUUCAACACCUCCGUGCCGCCGCUAACGCAUUAAGUAUUCCGCCUGGGGAGUACGGUCGCAAGAUUAAAACUCAAAGGAAUUGACGGGGACCCGCACAAGUAGCGGAGCAUGUGGUUUAAUUCGAAGCAACGCGAAGAACCUUACCUACACUUGACAUCCCUUGCAUUACUCUUAAUCGAGGAAAUCCCUUCGGGGACAAGGUGACAGGUGGUGCAUGGUUGUCGUCAGCUCGUGUCGUGAGAUGUUGGGUUAAGUCCCGCAACGAGCGCAACCCUUGUCGUUAGUUACUACCAUUAAGUUGAGGACUCUAGCGAGACUGCCUGGGUUAACCAGGAGGAAGGUGGGGAUGACGUCAAAUCAUCAUGCCCCUUAUGUGUAGGGCUACACACGUGCUACAAUGGCUGGUACAGAGAGAUGCAAUACCGCGAGGUGGAGCCAAACUUAAAACCAGUCUCAGUUCGGAUUGUAGGCUGAAACUCGCUACAUGAAG
This 543-nucleotide ribosomal RNA is filed under the name uncultured bacterium. Its description in RNAcentral is "bacterial SSU rRNA". It matches the Rfam family "Bacterial small subunit ribosomal RNA", at positions 777 to 1325 of the family's 1533-position model. The record is from RNAcentral.